CCUACGGGUGGCUGCAGUAGGGAAUAUUGGACAAUGGGCGAAAGCCUGAUCCAGCAAUGCCGCGUGAGUGAUGAAGGCCUUAGGGUUGUAAAGCUCUUUUACCCGAGAUGAUAAUGACAGUAUCGGGAGAAUAAGCUCCGGCUAACUCCGUGCCAGCAGCCGCGGUAAUACGGAGGGAGCUAGCGUUGUUCGGAAUUACUGGGCGUAAAGCGCACGUAGGCGGCGAUUUAAGUCAGAGGUGAAAGCCCGGGGCUCAACCCCGGAACUGCCUUUGAGACUGGAUUGCUAGAAUCUUGGAGAGGCGAGUGGAAUUCCGAGUGUAGAGGUGAAAUUCGUAGAUAUUCGGAAGAACACCAGUGGCGAAGGCGGCUCGCUGGACAAGUAUUGACGCGGAGGUGCGAAAGCGUGGGGAGCAAACAGGAUUAGAUACCCUGGUAGUC
RNAcentral lists this ribosomal RNA (440 nucleotides) under uncultured Sphingobium sp. RNAcentral describes it as "bacterial SSU rRNA". It matches the Rfam family "Bacterial small subunit ribosomal RNA", at positions 338 to 795 of the family's 1533-position model. The record is from RNAcentral. Lineage: Bacteria; Pseudomonadati; Pseudomonadota; Alphaproteobacteria; Sphingomonadales; Sphingobiaceae.